This 165-nucleotide ribosomal RNA is filed under the name uncultured bacterium. RNAcentral's name for it is "partial 16S ribosomal RNA". It matches the Rfam family "Bacterial small subunit ribosomal RNA", at positions 355 to 511 of the family's 1533-position model. The record is from RNAcentral.
UAGGGAAUCUUCCACAAUGGGACGAAAGUCUGAUGGAGCAACGCCGCGUGAGUGAAGAAGGGUUUCGGCUCGUAAAACUCUGUUGUUAAAGAAGAACAUAUCUGAGAGUAACUGUUCAGGUAUUGACGGUAUUUAACCAGAAAGCCACGGCUAACUACGUGCCGG